AACGCACAUUGCGCCCCUUGGUAUUCCGAGGGGCACACCUGUUCGGGCGCCGUUUUAGUCCUAAGGCUUUAGCCUCGUGUUGGUCCUUCCCGUCUCCGGGAGCGACAGAAAAACAAGUUCUAAACCAGAAGCAGAACGCAUACGCGAUAGUAUUGGUGGUCUCGCUCUCUUGGCUGGAAACUAAAAACGUCACUAUGGCCUCGGAUCAGGUGGGGAUACCCGCUGAACUUAA
RNAcentral lists this unclassified non-coding RNA (232 nucleotides) under uncultured fungus. RNAcentral describes it as "partial contains 5.8S ribosomal RNA, internal transcribed spacer 2, and large subunit ribosomal RNA". The record is from RNAcentral. Lineage: Eukaryota; Fungi.